RNAcentral lists this transfer RNA (85 nucleotides) under Felis catus (domestic cat). It matches the Rfam family "tRNA". Rfam says of the family: Transfer RNA (tRNA) molecules are approximately 80 nucleotides in length. Their secondary structure includes four short double-helical elements and three loops (D, anti-codon, and T loops). Lineage: Eukaryota; Metazoa; Chordata; Mammalia; Carnivora; Felidae. The record is from Rfam by way of RNAcentral.
GCCUGGGUGGCUCGGUUGGUUAAGCGUCUGACUUCGGCUCAGGUCAUGAUCUCGUAGUUCGUGGGUUCGAGCCCCACGCCAGGCU